UGACGUCCCUUGCGUGAUCCAUCUACAAGGAAGAGGGGGACAGACAGGAGAGAGAGAGAGAGGAGGGGCAUUGUGCAGAUACAAUUAAGAAGUAGAUAAUUGGUCCUUUUAGAUCAAUGUAUGUUUUCUCGUAGGCGGCUAUAAAUAAAGGUUACGAUGCAGUUCAUGCUGCUUUUCAGUCGCCAGGGGAAGCUGAGGCUCCAGAAGUGGUAUGUCCCGCUGUCAGACAAGGAGAAGAAAAAGAUCACCAGGGAACUCGUGCAGACAGUAUUGGCCCGGAAACCCAAAAUGUGCAGCUUCCUGGAGUGGCGUGACCUCAAGAUUGUUUACAAAAGGUAUGCUAGCUUGUACUUCUGCUGUGCAAUUGAAGAUCAGGAUAAUGAACUCAUAACUCUUGAGAUAAUUCACCGUUACGUAGAGCUGCUGGAUAAAUACUUUGGCAGUGUGUGCGAACUUGACAUAAUCUUUAACUUCGAAAAGGCGUACUUUAUCCUGGAUGAGUUCCUGCUGGGUGGUGAAGCUCAGGAGACCUCGAAGAAAAAUGUCUUGAAAGCCAUCGAGCAGGCAGACCUGUUGCAGGAGAGCCAGAAUGAAGACUGGGGAAGUAUAUCAACCGACGAUGUCUUAUAAUUGGGAGAGAUCUGAGGCUUUGACCUCUUAUGCUCCCCAUCCCCCUUCCAGACUAUUGCCCCGUCAUGAGUAUUUUAAUGUCCCUGUGUACUAAAUGGCUCUGCUGCUCAUCCUGCAUGCUGAAUUCCCACGGCACUAGAGGGCUGCUUCCUUAUUGGCACGACGCUGUCUUGGCUCUGGGGUCCCUGAAAAUCCGUCCAUUCAAGCAAAAAAUGCACAUUCUGUCACUGCUACUACGUCAUUUAUGUAUUAUCAUUUUUUUUUCUUCCUCCAUCUUCUUGCUGAAUGCUGUGCCAGAGAAUCUACAUUACAUGCAUUAUGUGCUGUAUGUAUGUGCUCUGUUUUAAGCUGUUGGUCUGUUUUCUUGGAUAUUAGUGUGGUGUAUUUUCAUGGACAUUUAGUUAUGUUUUGUAGAACUGAAAUAUUUUUAAAUGCAUGUUUAGUGGAUAUUUUACUUUGCUUAAAUGUCCUUAGGCCAGACCAUAUUUGGGUUGGGGAGGACACAACACCUAUUGUUUUGUUUCAGUUUGAGAAAAUGGUCUAAGGGAGCAUAAACAUUAGUGAAGAGGGGUAUAGGAAAUGCUGAGAUACCAUAACAAAUGUGUAACUGAAAAAGGAAUACUUAACAGACUAUUUUAAUUAUAUACAAUAUACAUAUUUUUAUAUAGAUAAUUUCUUAAUCAAUGUGCAUCUGGUUUCACAGAUUUACUGUAGCACUAAGAUUAGUUCUAAUUUGGGUCUUUGAAACUAGCUUUCAAUGUACACAUUUGAAUUCUUAAUGGAUUUUAGUAAUGCUAAGAAUUAAAACCAACAUUAACUCACUUUAAGUAGAAUUUUAUUAAAGCCAGAUAUAUUUAUAGUAAGUGGGGGUGGGGAGAGCUUAACCUUCUUUUAAAUGUAUCCCUGCAUUCUUUUCCCUGCAUUUCUGUUUCAUUGAAAUUUUGCACAUGGGCUGUACUGGGGUUAUCUAUUCUGCCGUGUCAUUAUAUAGGCUUUAAUCUUAAGGUUUUGCUCAUUCCUCAGUCUGUCUUAAUAAAGUACUGCAUGUAACAUCUCUAUUUAUUUCUGUGAAUGGCUUUUGUCUUUUAUAUGUAAAAAAAAUAAAAAUCAUGAUAACAUCUAUCAAAGGAAAAAUAUAACUAGGGCUUCUGUUUUUCGGUUUAUUCAUUUAAUUUCUUGUGUUUUAAUUUUAGCUAUUUUAGUUAUGUAGAUACCCUGCAAUUAUUUUUUACCUCUUCCUGACAGUAGGUCUGCACUUUUAACUACACAUUUACCAUAAAAAGCAGCUAAUACAAUGAUUAUAAAAAACACUAGCCAUUAAUGGAAGGAAUUGUCAUUUUCCUUCAGACUAAUCCCAAUGUAGUCAGAAUAGUACAGUGUGUAUGAAGUCAACAACUGUAAUGUCCGUCUUCAAGCAAAAUGGAAGACAGAAAAAUAAUUUAUUUCCACUGGUAGAAGAAACUGACUCGAAACGAUACACAGUUUAAUCUGUACUCUUAUCCAACGCUGCAAACAGCCGUGCCUAAUAAAUAAAACAAAAACCGUCAAAGUGUGAGUAUUAUGAUUAUUAUUUAUGUUUACCGGAGCAUUUCUACUUCUUAAAAAAAUGCAGAACGAUUAUGCUUCACUGAUUUAGUAUUCAGUUAUACAAUUAAUCAAUUAAAUAUUUGAAAACUGCAAUGUUCAUGAGCAUCACAGAGCACUCUGUAGACAGAAUCACCAGACGUCUGCUUCACCCACCCUAUAUCGGAGUGGAAAUCAACUCAAUCUAAAUCAUGAGUGCGUACAGGGGGAUGAUAACUUUGAAACUACACUAUACUAACCUUUGAGCUGCUAAACACAUUUUUCUUUUACUUUUUUAUUUUAUUUUUGCAUUUCUGAGUCGUCCUGCGUACCCCCUGUAACCCUUAGAAGUACCCCUGGUUGAAAACCCCUGUCCUUGGUCAUUUCACCUGGACAGUGAAGUUCUCUCCAACUUUCUUUCCUAAUGAUGGAUUGCUUUACAGCCAGUGACCAUGACCUUUUCUAGACAAGGACUCCAAAAACCCUGAACAAAUGUAAGGAAUUAUUUUUCAGGUGUAAGAUUACCAUCAGUAACACAUUUUAGUUCUCCUAAUAAACGUGAUACCUACUCGGGGAGAACACUUAGAGCAAAACUGUAUAAUGCUCAUCCUGAUAUCUUCAAACAAAUAACCAUCAAGAUAUUCAACCAUUCAUCAUUUACUGAAUAAAUACAUUGAAAAUAAAUGCAUUUUAAUGAUAGAAAGGAGUCCUAUACAUUAGAAAGUAGUCUAAUCUUUUUAAAGAGCUGUGUCCAUCUUGCACACUUUCUAAGUGAGUUGUCCGAGAGAAAGAAUGGCAAAUACUAUUAAAAAUGCUUAAAAUGUUCUUUAAAGUUUCACAACCCUCUCCCCCAUCAAGAUUAAAACUAAAAUGUACAGCUGCCAAGAGCGUUCUUGAUUUCCAAGAGUAGUUGAAAAACACUGCUGCAAACGCUGGGCCUACUUGCUGUAACAUAUAAAACUCAUUUAACGGUUUCAGGAGGAUCAUGGCUAUUUAAAUGCAUAGUUAAAUACCCAUUUUGGCAUUAAGUCAGCCAUUAGCUUAUUGCUUUGUUAUGUGAACUACCCAAUAUCUUAAACGAUAUUAAGUUUGUAACUGUAGAUGUUUGUGUGCUUCAGACCAUUUUUUCAGUCCAUUACACACUUUUCUUUCAAUGUAAUAAUGUAUGAUGAAUGUAUGAUGUUGCGUUUUACAGUGUGCAUGACACAGUGGGUAAAAGAGCAACCUUUCCCUCCAGCGAGGUUCAUCAGGUUUAUAGUUACAGACAAGGGCUGAAAUGGACACGCUGUAAAGUUAUCCAAGGGGUUUUUAAAGUCAGUAUUUACAUAAAAAAGAAAGAUAAUUAUUUAGCAGUGUGUGGUGUCUUAUGUCAAAAACAUGACAGCAGACAAAGUGUUAUAUUGGAGAGAGAACUUAUGGCAGAAGCUUUUUGGUAAUAUUAAGCUUAAAAAUGCUUUCCAAAUAUAGUAUUAUUAAUGUACCACCAAUAUAUGCUAAAAUAAAUUGUAUUGUGCUUUCAUUCUCCAGUGUGUAAACAUUUGAUUCUUUGUGACUUUCUUGUGCUGAUGCAAUUCUUCUCUUUGCUUUGUGGCAAACCUCAUGUUAGGAUGCUAAAGAAAUGGAGACCCCACGCAGCGUUCUUGAAGAGAUUGGACUGACAUAACCCUGCACUUCUAUCCCAACACACUAUUUGUUUACUGCCUUUGUUUCCAUGUAACGCUAGAUAUAUUAUGGUUGUCAGUAUUAACAUCCAUCUUGCCCACUACUAUUAUUUCUUAUGUAUACAUGAGAUUGUAUUUCCCCACAAGAUUAGUAUGAGGAACAAAGCGAUUACCAGAAGAUUUUUUUUUUUUUUAAAUACUGCCUUAAGAUAUUUGAACAUCAGUUUAUAAAUGUAUUGGUACUCUAGUGUAGGAGAAAACAUAUUUCAGGGCAUCUUAAGGGUUUACAACCAACGAACACUGUGCUAGUAUUUAAUUAAUAUUAUUUUACUUUUUUUUUAAACUAUUAUACAAAAAUAAAACAUUUUGUAUAGACCAGUGUUUUAGAAUAUCAAAAACUGGACAUAUAUAUGGAGGUGUGAAAGGAAUUUGUUAAUGAAACCAAAGAAUUCUAACUGUUGUAAUUUUUUCCUUAGGCAGAUUUAUUACUAUGGGUAAAAACUAUGAGCUGUGUAUAUGGAAGCAAAUAUCUUUUCUCAAUUAUGGUGUGAACCCGAAAGUACAACUAAAUGUUCAAGACUACUGCCUGAGACAUGUUUUGAAAUAUGUCUUAUUGUAUGCAUUUUGUUGUUAAUAACUAACCAUCAGUAACCUCAUAUCAAAAUAUGGUUUUCACAAGUUACAUUUUUAGUUUAUUUCUUUUUUAACCCUACAUUAAUUCAGCAAAACCUUGUGUGUAUUUCCAUGAGAUAGUCUGUUUAUUAAUGUAGUUAAUCUCACCCUCACCCUCCUGCUGGAACAAACCAAUUUGGGUUUACACUUAGUCAUCACCUUGUAUGUUAUGCAGUGAAAAGCUGAGGUGUGUGUUGUUUUGUACUCCUGUCUCUGUGAACAAUGUGUUGCAAUGUUUGGUGUUCAAAUGGAAAUAAAGUUUAUUUACAUCUUGA
This is an RNA transcript of Acipenser ruthenus (sterlet), 4801 nucleotides long. It is a transcript of the gene named AP-1 complex subunit sigma-2-like, with no coding region annotated. Lineage: Eukaryota; Metazoa; Chordata; Actinopteri; Acipenseriformes; Acipenseridae. The record is from RefSeq and is a predicted model, not a curated record. The transcript is spliced from 7 exons.